UCCCUGGUGGCUCAGAGGGUAAAGCGUCUGCCUACAAUGCAGGAGACGCGGGUUCAAUCCCUGGGUCGGGAA
Molecule: non-coding RNA, 72 nt
Organism: Bos taurus (domestic cattle)
Lineage: Eukaryota; Metazoa; Chordata; Mammalia; Artiodactyla; Bovidae
Source: Rfam